RNAcentral lists this ribosomal RNA (254 nucleotides) under uncultured bacterium. Its description in RNAcentral is "partial 16S ribosomal RNA". It matches the Rfam family "Bacterial small subunit ribosomal RNA", at positions 524 to 776 of the family's 1533-position model. The record is from RNAcentral.
UACGUAGGGGGCGAGCGUUGUCCGGAUUUAUUGGGCGUAAAGAGCUCGUAGGCGGCUUAGCAAGUCGGGUGUGAAAACUCCAGGCUCAACCUGGAGACGCCACUCGAGACUGCUAUGGCUAGAGUCCGGUAGGGGACCACGGAAUUCCUGGUGUAGCGGUGAAAUGCGCAGAUAUCAGGAGGAACACCGGUGGCGAAGGCGGCCCACUGGUCCGGUACUGACGCUGAGGUGCGAAAGCGUGGGGAGCAAACAGG